UCCGUAGGUGAACCUGCGGAAGGAUCAUUACAAGUCUUAAACAUGCCAUUUGGGGCCGCAAGGCUCCAAAUGGAUACAUACGUUCGGAGUCGCAAGACUUCCGUAACACAUUCACGCUUGAUUUGUUUGCCAGAGUAAGAAUACAAUGAACUAUGACAACUUUUAACAAUGGAUCUCUUGGCUCUUGCAACGAUGAAGAACGCAGUAAAGUGCGAUAUGUAGUGCGAUUUGCAUGAAUCUGUGAGUCAUCUAAUCUUUGAACGCAACUUGCGCCGUUAGGCAUGUCUGUUCGAGAACCGUACGAAACUGUGUGUAUUACGAAUUGGUGGAUGCUGGUGUGGGUGGGGAGUGGUUGUAAGACUGCAAGACAUUCACCGCUGGCUCUGCUUAAAGAGAGCAAGCAUGACUCGGAGGAACGAGCUAGUGUGCUAGAGGCACGAGAAGGGUAGAUGCAAUUUUUGCUCAUCCCUGACCACGUCUUGUCACUGGCAAAGAUCCCCGCAGUCCAAACUAAUAAUCAACUACCGGGUCUCGGAAUCAGGGGGCAAGGAUCACCCGGCUGGAACUUAAGGCAUAUCAAUAAGGCGGGGAGGGGAAGGUCGGACUGGCCAAGGGGCACACAGGGGGGGGGAUA
RNAcentral lists this ribosomal RNA (634 nucleotides) under uncultured fungus. RNAcentral's name for it is "eukaryotic LSU rRNA". The stretch from base 158 to 299 matches the Rfam family "5.8S ribosomal RNA". Lineage: Eukaryota; Fungi. The record is from RNAcentral.